UCAGCUGAAAUUCCCGAUCCGGGAUACAUCGAUGGCGUCGUGUUUUGUCCUGGAAUAAUUAUUAAUUCGGGCUAGUUGCAACUCGGUGGUGCCGCUGUGGCUUGCCCCGCGGUCUUUGCUUCCAAAACCGAUACAUUUUCAAUCGGUCCUUUGAUGAGAAAUCUCUCUGCGUGUGGGUAAACACCACUCGGUUUUCAUGAACAAGCGCUGCUGUAACUAAAUUAAUUGUAAUGAUCUCAUGGAAGGAAAGGGACGUUUAUAUUUAUAUCGUGUGUCCACGUUUAUUCGAAAGUUGAAAUAUCGACGACAAGGGAAUAAAUUAAUAUUUAAUAGUCACAGUCAAAAUCGUGCAACGCAUUUGAAAACAUGUUUUGAAGCAGUUGGUCAUUGAAUGCGGGCCAAAAUUUUGGAUUUGGCAUCGUGGACCUAAUUAUCUUCUAUCAAUUGUUCUAUUUACCUACCGGAAGCCAGACACCUUUUUCUAGGCGAAUUUGGAAAGUGACGUUAUGGACCAAGAAUUAAUAACUAGAUAUCAUUAUUAUUUAUUAUUAUCAUUAUUAUUACUUAUAUUAUUAUUAUUAUUAUUAUUACU
Megalopta genalis is the source of this 592-nucleotide long non-coding RNA. RefSeq lists it as uncharacterized. The record is from RefSeq and is a predicted model, not a curated record. NCBI's taxonomy places the organism in Eukaryota, Metazoa, Arthropoda, Insecta, Hymenoptera, Halictidae.